This 343-nucleotide long non-coding RNA is filed under the name Elaeis guineensis (African oil palm). RNAcentral describes it as "long non-coding RNA (EGUI_LNC075728)". Lineage: Eukaryota; Viridiplantae; Streptophyta; Magnoliopsida; Arecales; Arecaceae. The record is from RNAcentral.
GUACAUAAUAGUUGUGGUAUGAUGGCUCCCAUAGAACGACCUACGAAUGAGACAAUCCAGCAACUUAGAAGUCAAGAUCCUACGAAUUGGAAUGGUACAAUACCGCAUUUGAUCUUCCACUUGAGUCUGUGAUGAAUUCAUGUAGUAAGGUGUCACGUCAACCUCUCCACUGGGAAAGAUCAAGAUAAGAAAACUCACCAUCUACAAGGAAGAAGAGGUACGUGUGGAAUGAAGGGAGAAGGAAGGCAAUCGCAACAACUCGGAGUGUAUAAAACUAUUCAAGUAUCUAAUGUCGCGGGUUGCUUUCCCUCUUCUGUUACACGAGAUGGAUAUAGGCUUGCAU